AUCAAGUGUCUUAAGGCCCUCC
RNAcentral lists this ribosomal RNA (22 nucleotides) under Candidatus Bartonella washoeensis. RNAcentral's name for it is "Bartonella washoeensis partial 23S rRNA". The record is from RNAcentral. Lineage: Bacteria; Pseudomonadati; Pseudomonadota; Alphaproteobacteria; Hyphomicrobiales; Bartonellaceae.